Non-coding RNA from Nanorana parkeri, 71 nucleotides. The record is from the annotation of a RefSeq genome assembly. NCBI's taxonomy places the organism in Eukaryota, Metazoa, Chordata, Amphibia, Anura, Dicroglossidae.
GCACCGAUAGUGUAGCGGUAUCAUGCAAGAUUGCCAUUCUUGCGACCUGGGUUCGAGUCCCGGUUGGUGCA